This 428-nucleotide ribosomal RNA is filed under the name uncultured bacterium. Its description in RNAcentral is "partial 16S ribosomal RNA". It matches the Rfam family "Bacterial small subunit ribosomal RNA", at positions 354 to 796 of the family's 1533-position model. The record is from RNAcentral.
GUGGGGAAUAUUGGGCAAUGGGCGCAAGCCUGACCCAGCAACGCCGCGUGAAGGAAGAAGGCUUUCGGGUUGUAAACUUCUUUUACCAGGGACGAAACAAAUGACGGUACCUGGUGAAUAAGCCACGGCUAACUACGUGCCAGCAGCCGCGGUAAUACGUAGGUGGCGAGCGUUAUCCGGAUUUAUUGGGUGUAAAGGGCGUGUAGGCGGGACAGCAAGUCAGAUGUGAAAACCAGAGGCUCAACCUCUGGCCUGCAUUUGAAACUGUUGUUCUUGAGUGUCGGAGAGGUAAGCGGAAUUCCGUGUGUAGCGGUGAAAUGCGUAGAUAUACGGAGGAACACCAGUGGCGAAGGCGGAUUACUGGACGAUAACUGACGCUGAGGCGCGAAAGCGUGGGGAGCAAACAGGAUUAGAUACCCUUGUAGUCC